AUUGAACGCUGGCGGCAUGCCUUACACAUGCAAGUCGAACGGUAACAGGUCUUCGGAUGCUGACGAGUGGCGAACGGGUGAGUAAUACAUCGGAACGUGCCUAGUAGUGGGGGAUAACUACUCGAAAGAGUGGCUAAUACCGCAUGAGAUCUACGGAUGAAAGUAGGGGAUCGCAAGACCUUGUGCUACUAGAGCGGCCGAUGGCAGAUUAGGUAGUUGGUAGGAUAAAAGAUUAACAAGCCGACGAUCUGUAGCUGGUCUGAGAGGACGAUCAGCCACACUGGGACUGAGACACGGCCCAGACUCCUACGGGAGGCAGCAGUGGGGAAUUUUGGACAAUGGGCGAAAGCCUGAUCCAGCAAUGCCGCGUGCAGGAUGAAGGCCUUCGGGUUGUAAACUGCUUUUGUACGGAACGAAAAGCCCCGGGUUAAUACCCUGGGGUCAUGACGGUACCGUAAGAAUAAGCACCGGCUAACUACGUGCCAGCCGCCGCAGUAA
Molecule: ribosomal RNA, 498 nt
Filed under: uncultured bacterium
Lineage: Bacteria
Description: partial 16S ribosomal RNA
Rfam family: Bacterial small subunit ribosomal RNA
Source: RNAcentral